This 254-nucleotide ribosomal RNA is filed under the name uncultured bacterium. Its description in RNAcentral is "partial 16S ribosomal RNA". It matches the Rfam family "Bacterial small subunit ribosomal RNA", at positions 524 to 776 of the family's 1533-position model. The record is from RNAcentral.
UACGGGGGGAGCAAGCGUUGUUCGGAUUUACUGGGCGUAAAGGGCGCGUAGGCGGCCACUGCAAGUCGGUUGUGAAAUCUCCGGGCUUAACCCGGAAAGGUCAACCGAUACUGCAGGGCUAGAGUGCAGAAGGGGCAACUGGAAUUCUCGGUGUAGCGGUGAAAUGCGUAGAUAUCUGGAGGAACACCGGUGGCGAAGGCGGCACCCUGGACCAAUACUGACGCUGAGGAGCGAAAGCCAGGGGAGCAAACGGG